Long non-coding RNA from Phyllostomus discolor (pale spear-nosed bat), 121 nucleotides. RefSeq lists it as uncharacterized. The transcript has 3 exons. The record is from RefSeq and is a predicted model, not a curated record. NCBI's taxonomy places the organism in Eukaryota, Metazoa, Chordata, Mammalia, Chiroptera, Phyllostomidae.
GGGGCGUCCAGCUUGCAGCCCGCAGACCGCAUGCAGCCCAGGAUGGCUGCGAAUGUGGCCCAAUGCAAAAUCGUGAAUUUACUUAAAACAUUAUGAGUUUUUUUGCUCUUCAUUUUUCAUU